This 270-nucleotide ribosomal RNA is filed under the name uncultured Eubacteriales bacterium. RNAcentral's name for it is "uncultured Clostridiales bacterium partial 16S ribosomal RNA". It matches the Rfam family "Bacterial small subunit ribosomal RNA", at positions 73 to 339 of the family's 1533-position model. The record is from RNAcentral. Lineage: Bacteria; Bacillati; Bacillota; Clostridia; Eubacteriales.
UUCGGAAUGAAACCUGAUAUGACUUAGUGGCGGACGGGUGAGUAACACGUGAGCAACCUGCCUUUCAGAGGGGGAUAACGGCUGGAAACGGUCGCUAAUACCGCAUGACGUGUUCGGAUGGCAUCAUCUGAACAUCAAAGAUUUAUCGCUGAAAGAUGGGCUCGCGUCUGAUUAGAUAGUUGGUGGGGUAACGGCCUACCAAGUCGACGAUCGGUAGCCGGACUGAGAGGUCGAACGGCCACAUUGGAACUGAGACACGGUCCAAACUCC